This 67-nucleotide transfer RNA is filed under the name Marmota monax (woodchuck). RNAcentral's name for it is "tRNA.Ala". It matches the Rfam family "tRNA". Rfam says of the family: Transfer RNA (tRNA) molecules are approximately 80 nucleotides in length. Their secondary structure includes four short double-helical elements and three loops (D, anti-codon, and T loops). The record is from RNAcentral. Lineage: Eukaryota; Metazoa; Chordata; Mammalia; Rodentia; Sciuridae.
GGUUGUAGCUCAGUGGUAGAGCACUCACCUAGCAUGUGUGAGGCCCUGGGUUCAAUCCUCAGCACCA